RNAcentral lists this long non-coding RNA (464 nucleotides) under Carica papaya (papaya). RNAcentral describes it as "long non-coding RNA (CPAP_LNC004958)". The record is from RNAcentral. Lineage: Eukaryota; Viridiplantae; Streptophyta; Magnoliopsida; Brassicales; Caricaceae.
GUAGGGCAGGGGGGAAGGAUAACUCAAGUUUGUUUAUCGAGGUGGCUACUUACUAGGUUGGGUAAUCUUUUUCAGGGUUAUUGGAGUUAUUGCAGUUGGGUACAGACUCAUGCAAUACACUGGUGCUUGGUCGAGAUGAGGUCUUCAGCUAGUUGGGCAUGUUCUAGCACCUCUACAUACGAGUUAAGGCUCAGCAUCGCAACCCGAUCAUAGAUAUCGGCACGAAGGCCUUUCAAAAACUUCCUACCUUUACGAUUUUCAGGGGAUGAUCAUUAGAGGGAUAAACCUAGACAGUUGGACAAAUUGGGCUGUAUAUUGAGAAACCAUCAUAUUUCCUUGACAGAGGUCCUGAAAUUCCUCCUCCUUCUUCUCUCGGACAUAGGCUAGAAAAAAGUUAUCGAAGAACUCUAUAAAAACUUCUCGGGUGGUAGAGGUAGGCAGGACUUCCUUCUCAAGUCACCACC